This is a long non-coding RNA of Sinocyclocheilus anshuiensis, 420 nucleotides long. RefSeq lists it as uncharacterized. The transcript is spliced from 3 exons. NCBI's taxonomy places the organism in Eukaryota, Metazoa, Chordata, Actinopteri, Cypriniformes, Cyprinidae. The record is from RefSeq and is a predicted model, not a curated record.
AAUUUUGCUUUCUUACUGUUUUCUUUGGCUUGGGUUUGUAAGUGAUGAAGAUGAUGGACCACAUUGUAGGAAGCAGUGUCUGGAGUCAGAUUGAGGCCAUGAAGCACCUUAUCCAUUGGACCUUGGAGUUUUCUGCCUAGCUGGAGUUCUGCUGGAGAUAGUCCAGUGGUCUCUUGGAUGGCUGAAUUCAGGGCGAAUCGGAACUCGGUUCUCUGAACACAGCUGAGACAAACUGAACUCCCCUGUCUGAGAGGAGAAAAUCUGGUACCCCCCAUCGAGUCAGGAUCUCUUUUCUGAAGAUAGAGGCAACAUUCUGGGUAGUGGAUUUACGCAUGGGGAACAACUCAACCCAGCGAGAAUAAUAAUCGACAAAAACGAGCAGGUUUUCACAUGACGUUUCACAUUGGACCACAUGCCUGG